This 236-nucleotide ribosomal RNA is filed under the name Clostridioides difficile. RNAcentral's name for it is "partial 23S ribosomal RNA". It matches the Rfam family "Bacterial large subunit ribosomal RNA", at positions 662 to 897 of the family's 2925-position model. Lineage: Bacteria; Bacillati; Bacillota; Clostridia; Peptostreptococcales; Peptostreptococcaceae. The record is from RNAcentral.
GGAGCCGUAGCGAAAGCGAGUUUUAACUGAGCGUUCAGUUACUUGACGUAGACCCGAAACCGGGCGACCUACCCAGGAGCAGGAUGAAGCGAAAGUAAAAUUUCGUGGCGGUCCGAACCCACGAGCGUUGAAAAGCUCGGGGAUGACUUGUGGGUAGCGGUGAAAUUCCAAUCGAGCCCGGAGAUAGCUGGUUCUCCCCGAAAUAGCUUUAGGGCUAGCCUCAAGGUGAGAGAUAC